This 672-nucleotide transfer RNA is filed under the name uncultured Prochlorococcus sp. Its description in RNAcentral is "partial 16S-23S ribosomal RNA intergenic spacer". The stretch from base 245 to 317 matches the Rfam family "tRNA". The record is from RNAcentral. Lineage: Bacteria; Bacillati; Cyanobacteriota; Cyanophyceae; Synechococcales; Prochlorococcaceae.
UCUUGAUGUCUGAGUAAAUAAUUCUUAGGCCAUGAUUCCUGUCACCUUAGGUCGAUCGGUACCUCAAGUUGAUUUUCAAUGAAAAAACUACAAAAUAGUUUUUUGGAAAUUGGUUUCAGUUCCUAAACUUUGUCUAGGUCACACCCCGUAAGGUUACUCCUGGGCCAUUAGCUCAGGUGGUUAGAGCGCACCCCUGAUAAGGGUGAGGUCCCUGGUUCAAGUCCAGGAUGGCCCAUUCGGUGUUGGGGGUUUAGCUCAGUUGGUAGAGCGCCUGCUUUGCAAGCAGGAUGUCAGCGGUUCGAGUCCGCUAACCUCCACUGAUUUGAUCUGCUACCUCUAAAGCCAAAAGGAGAUUAACCAUGCUUUUUAAUGUGAUUUAGGCAAUUUGUCCGCUGAAAAGAACCUAGCUUCUUAUCAUUCCAAAACUCUAUUUUAAUUUGUGAGUGGCUGAUAGGACGCUGGGCUCACUGUGAGUCAAAUGAUUUACAGAGUGUUCGGCAGAACCUUGACAACUGCAUAGAUAAGUCUGGAAAGAAUAAAGCAUCUCAUAGAUGCAUGAUUUUGUUUCCUAUUUAAUUACAGAUAACUGCAAUUGCAUUUAUCUGUAAUUAAAAUCGGUUACAGAAUUUAUGUUUAAUUCUUUGAGCAAAAGCCGAGAAGAUAUCUAUAACG